AAACAUGUUUUUUUGAAAAUAAUUUAAAGUCUAAUCUGCCCACUGAUNAAAUUAUUAAAGGGCUGCAGUAUUUUGACUGUACAAAGGUAGCAUAAUCAUUAGUCUCUUAAUUGGUGACUUGUAUGAAAGAUUGGAUGAAAUAUAUACUGUCUCUAUUUAAUUUAUAAAAUUUAAUUUUUUAGUAAAAAAGCUAAAAUGAAUUUAAAAGACGAGAAGACCCUAUAGAGUUUGAUAAUUUAUUUAAUUGUUAAUAAUAUAUAAAUUUUAAAAUUAAGAUUAAAUAAAUUAUUUUAUUGGGGUGAUAGAAAAAUUAAAUUAACUUUUUUUUUAUUUUAUACAUUAAUUUAUGAAUAAAUGAUCUAUUAAUAAUGAUUAAAAGAAAAAAUUACCUUAGGGAUAACAGCGUAAUUUUUUUUUUUAGUUCGAAUAGGAAAAAAAGUUUGCGACCUCGAUGUUGGAUUAAGAUAAAAUUUAAAUGCAAAAGUUAA
Molecule: ribosomal RNA, 488 nt
Filed under: Papilio hermeli
Lineage: Eukaryota; Metazoa; Arthropoda; Insecta; Lepidoptera; Papilionidae
Description: partial 16S ribosomal RNA
Source: RNAcentral